This is a non-coding RNA of Paramuricea clavata, 185 nucleotides long. The record is from the annotation of a GenBank genome assembly. NCBI's taxonomy places the organism in Eukaryota, Metazoa, Cnidaria, Anthozoa, Malacalcyonacea, Plexauridae.
GCCACUCCCACAGACGUCUACGACCGCACCUACAUACAUAUUUUUGCAUGUUUACAAUUCUAAUUUAAAACAGCCAAUCGACGCUUAAAUGUAAUUGUUACCAAGAACCGGAUUGGCUGUUCAAAAUUAGAAUUGUAAGCAUGCAAAAAUAUGUAGGUGCGGUCGUAGACAUUUGUGAGAGUGGC